This 313-nucleotide unclassified non-coding RNA is filed under the name uncultured fungus. RNAcentral's name for it is "sequence contains ITS2". The stretch from base 1 to 52 matches the Rfam family "5.8S ribosomal RNA", at positions 103 to 154 of the family's 154-position model. The record is from RNAcentral. Lineage: Eukaryota; Fungi.
AACGCACAUUGCGCCCGCUAGUACUCUAGCGGGCAUGCCUGUCCGAGCGUCAUUUAGGCCACUCGAGCUCUCCUCUCUCCCUGGGGAGACGGGCUCGGUGUUGGGGCGCUACGAGCCGCGGAGCCGCGCGCCUCGUAGGCUCCUAAAGACAGCGGUGGCGCCGCCGAGACCCCGAGCGUAGUAGUGUACACGCCCACCAGCGUGCCUCGCUCAGGGCGUCCGGCGGUCGUGGCCAGCCGUGAAAACCCGCCGCGCACGCGGCUAUACCUCUGGGGUUGACCUCGGAUCAGGUAGGAAUACCCGCUGAACUUAA